CAGAAGUACAGACAGCCAAGCGCAGACGGAAGCGGUGAGGUCCAGAUGUGCAUUUGGCAACCGUUUGGCGUUCUCCAGAAAUUGAAAGAGAAGAAAAUGCUGGCAAAGAAGAGUAAGCUUGAACAAAAGAGUGAGGACGCAGCCACGGAUUCUGACCAGUCCCCAAAGCAGCAGACCAGCAAAGAGGAAGACGAAGACGCUUCCGAGGAGGAGGAAAAAGACGAUGCAGAAGACCCCAGCUUUAUGAUGAGGAGAUGAUGGUUUUGACACUGUGCGUAGUAUUCAUCUGCUGUCGGGGAGCCUGGAUUCUUUACCGAGCAAGAGU
Elgaria multicarinata webbii is the source of this 325-nucleotide long non-coding RNA. RefSeq lists it as uncharacterized. The record is from RefSeq and is a predicted model, not a curated record. NCBI's taxonomy places the organism in Eukaryota, Metazoa, Chordata, Lepidosauria, Squamata, Anguidae. The transcript has 3 exons.